Molecule: non-coding RNA, 72 nt
Organism: Phrynosoma platyrhinos (Desert horned lizard)
Lineage: Eukaryota; Metazoa; Chordata; Lepidosauria; Squamata; Phrynosomatidae
Source: the annotation of a GenBank genome assembly
GCCAGCGUGGUGUAGUGGUUUGAGCGCUGGAUUACGACUCUGGAGACCAGGUUUCGAAUUCUGGCUCGGCCA